Molecule: unclassified non-coding RNA, 209 nt
Filed under: uncultured fungus
Lineage: Eukaryota; Fungi
Description: sequence contains ITS1
Source: RNAcentral
GUAUUAGUAUUUCCAACUAACCAUCCAUAAGAUAAAUUGUGUGUAACAAAAACAUAGACAAGGGUUUGAAUAAACAAUCCCCCGCCUACAGAAUGUGCACAGGUGGAUAUCAAGGUUGAGAGUGCACAAUUGUCCCCCCUUUGAAAGGAGAACCAGCACAUCCCAUUUGAAAAUCAAUAAUGAUCCUUCCGCAGGUUCACCUACGGAAA